AUUGAACGCUGGCGGCAGGCCUAACACAUGCAAGUCGGACGGUAGCACAGAGGAGCUUGCUCCUCGGGUGACGAGUGGCGGACGGGUGAGUAAUGUCUGGGGAUCUGCCCGAUAGCGGGGGAUAACCACUGGAAACGGUGGCUAAUACCGCAUAACGUCGCAAGACCAAAGAGGGGGACCUUCGGGCCUCUCACUAUCGGAUGAACCCAGAUGGGAUUAGCUAGUAGGCGGGGCAACGGCCCACCUAGGCGACGAUCCCAAGCUGGUCUGAGAGGAUGACCAGCCACACUGGAACUGAGACACGGUCCAGAGUCCUACGGGAGGCAGCAGUGGGGAAUAUUGCACAAUGGGCGCAAGCCUGAUGCAGCCAUGCCGCGUGUAUGAAGAAGGCCUUCGGGUUGUAAAGUACUUUCAGCGGGGAGGAAGGCGAUGUGGUUAAUAACCGCGUCGAUUGCCGUUACCCGCAGAAGAAGCACCGGCUAACUCCGUGCCAGCAGCCGCCGUAA
This 506-nucleotide ribosomal RNA is filed under the name uncultured bacterium. Its description in RNAcentral is "partial 16S ribosomal RNA". It matches the Rfam family "Bacterial small subunit ribosomal RNA", at positions 29 to 523 of the family's 1533-position model. The record is from RNAcentral.